UACGGAGGAUGCGAGCGUUAUCCGGAUUUAUUGGGUGUAAAGGGAGCGUAGACGGUGAUGCAAGCCAGAUGUGAAAGCCCGGGGCUCAACCCCGGGACUGCAUUUGGAACUGUGCUGCUAGAGUGUCGGAGAGGCAGGCGGAAUUCCUAGUGUAGCGGUGAAAUGCAUAGAUAUUAGGAGGAACACCAGUGGCGAAGGCGGCCUGCUGGACGAUGACUGACGUUGAGGCUCGAAAGCGUGGGGAGCAAACAGG
RNAcentral lists this ribosomal RNA (253 nucleotides) under uncultured Blautia sp. RNAcentral describes it as "partial 16S ribosomal RNA". It matches the Rfam family "Bacterial small subunit ribosomal RNA", at positions 524 to 776 of the family's 1533-position model. Lineage: Bacteria; Bacillati; Bacillota; Clostridia; Lachnospirales; Lachnospiraceae. The record is from RNAcentral.